UCCCUGGAGGAUUAGUGGUUAGGCCACGGUGCUCUCAAUGCUGUGGCCUGGGUUCAUUUCCCGGCCAGGGAA
Molecule: transfer RNA, 72 nt
Filed under: Pangasianodon gigas (Mekong giant catfish)
Lineage: Eukaryota; Metazoa; Chordata; Actinopteri; Siluriformes; Pangasiidae
Description: tRNA-Glu
Rfam family: tRNA
About the family: Transfer RNA (tRNA) molecules are approximately 80 nucleotides in length. Their secondary structure includes four short double-helical elements and three loops (D, anti-codon, and T loops).
Source: RNAcentral